AGAUACUAGCUGUGUGACCCUAGGUAAUACCUAAUUGCCUGAGUGGGACCCUGCCUUCCUCCAGCCAAUCAUGAUCUUUCCUGGUGUGUACCCAAAGAACCAGGUAUGACUGCCUGUAUUUCAUUGAAUUAUCAAUUCAACUUGUAUGAACUGAUGCAGAGUGAAGUUUGCAGAAAAAAAAGAGAACAGUAUCUACAAUGACUAUAACAACGUAGUAGAAAGCAACUUUAAAAAGGUUAAGAAUUCUGAUGAACAAAAUAUCAACCAUAACUUCGGAAGACUGGUGACAAAACGUGCUUCCCCACUUCUUGGCAGAGAGGUGAUAGACCAGAGGUGCAAAAUGAGGCAUAUAUCUUAGGAAAGGCAAUGUGUGGGUUUGUUUUGACUUGAUUUUACAUAUUUGCCUAAAGGAAGAGCUUCUAUUUAGGAAGGGAGGCAUCUAAAAGUUGGGAAGGGUGUUGGUAGACAGUGGUAGACAGUUGGUAGAUAGUCAUAGAAAAAAAAAACCCAAAGAAUGAAAGAAAAGAGCAUCGAUGAAACAUUGAAAAAUAUAUAGAAGAAAGCAGAAGGAAGCUCGGGAGAGAACCAGACAAGCAGGGUGGUUUGGGAACUCUUGUUUUAAAUGUAAUAUGUACUUUAAAAAACAAAUUGUAUGUAAUAGAAAUUCAUAGUUUCACAUCCAAUCCUCUUUUUUUCUAGUCUUUGUGUGUUGAAGUGUUCAUAUUUCUAGAAUUUGUUAAUACAUAAUAAAAUAAAUAAUGAUAAAA
Molecule: long non-coding RNA, 767 nt
Organism: Phascolarctos cinereus (koala)
Lineage: Eukaryota; Metazoa; Chordata; Mammalia; Diprotodontia; Phascolarctidae
Source: RefSeq, a predicted model, not a curated record